Loxodonta africana (African savanna elephant) is the source of this 1040-nucleotide long non-coding RNA. RefSeq lists it as uncharacterized. The record is from RefSeq and is a predicted model, not a curated record. The transcript is spliced from 4 exons. Lineage: Eukaryota; Metazoa; Chordata; Mammalia; Proboscidea; Elephantidae.
GGUAGGGGGAGGGGAUGGAGGGAUCCUUACAGUCUUCCCCGAGUCCCUGCUUGGCCCUGCUGUUCACAGCCUGGGUGGCUGCCUCCUCCUCUCCAGCAAACUCCAGUCCUCCUUCAAGGCCUGACUGUGGCAGCACACUCUGUGCCCCACCCCCCAAAGCAUCAGGCCCUUUUGCCUCCGAGCUCUCCUAGCAUGUUGUUCCUUUCUCGGUUAGCGUCCAUCAUCAUGCAGGCCUGGAGUAGUUCUCUAAGGGCCUGUGGCUGGGGGUCACUGAGCCCCUCGAGGGUGAGGACUGUGUCUCGCUCAGUACUCUUUAAGUCGGGUGCCGGGGAUAGAGUCGUUGCUUAGUAAAUGCUGGCUGCCUCAACAGAGGACCCUUUGUCUUCUUUUCCAGUGAGAGGCACCUGCUCUGUCCUUGGAGCAGCUCGAGGAAACAGGAAGGCUGGGAUGAGGCCUGGAUCUCCUCAACCUGCCAGCAGACUUGAAGUUCUAACCUGAAAACUCCAACCACUAGGCUGCCACCCUGUGUCCGGGGCUGUCUGCACACUGCUUCCUCCAGGGAUGGGAUCCUCCUUACCAGCUGGGCAGGCGGGCGUUGUUACCUGGGCAUCACCAUGGUCUGUUAUCAUCAGUGAAAACCCAGCCGGAAGGGAGAGGGCACAUCUGAGGACAAGAGGAUCAUCUUGCAAAGUGGACACCUCUGUCUCUCCUGUCAUGUAAGAGGCUCUUCAAAGGGUGGUUCGGUAUUCGGAAGAUUUCUGUCAGUUUCUGCUUGAAAUUUUCCCAUUUUUAAGAGAAUACGGAAACAUCUCAUAUGACCUUCAUCACAAAGAUAACCUCCUAAAAUUGCUCCUAUGUUUCGAAAGAAGGCCAGGGUAGUUGUUACACAGAGCCCUGGAAAGUAUGUGCUCCCUUCUCCCAAGCUAAAUAUCGAAAUGCCAGAUUAAAGGCCCUUCUUUCCGGGGAGGACGUCGGUGGAUCGGACACACACUCUUCAUCUCCCCUCUGCCUCUGUGUGCACCCUCCACCCAGGGCUGGAA